This 64-nucleotide transfer RNA is filed under the name Scolytinae sp. BMNH 1039994. RNAcentral's name for it is "tRNA-Pro". The record is from RNAcentral. Lineage: Eukaryota; Metazoa; Arthropoda; Insecta; Coleoptera; Curculionidae.
CAGAAAAUAGUUUAAUUAAAAUAUUAGUUUUGGAGACUAAUGAUGGGAGGUAUCUUUUUUCUGA